Molecule: ribosomal RNA, 497 nt
Filed under: uncultured bacterium
Lineage: Bacteria
Description: partial 16S ribosomal RNA
Rfam family: Bacterial small subunit ribosomal RNA
Source: RNAcentral
GAUGAACGCUGGCGGCGUGCCUAAUACAUGCAAGUCGAGCGAACAGAUGAGGAGCUUGCUCCUCUGACGUUAGCGGCGGACGGGUGAGUAACACGUGGAUAACCUACCUAUAAGACUGGGAUAACUACGGGAAACCGGAGCUAAUACCGGAUAAUAUAUUUAACCGCAUGGUUCAAUAGUGAAAGACGGUUUUGCUGUCACUUAUAGAUGGAUCCGCGCCGCAUUAGCUAGUUGGUAAGGUAACGGCUUACCAAGGCAACGAUGCGUAGCCGACCUGAGAGGGUGAUCGGCCACACUGGAACUGAGACACGGUCCAGACUCCUACGGGAGGCAGCAGUAGGGAAUCUUCCGCAAUGGGCGAAAGCCUGACGGAGCAACGCCGCGUGAGUGAUGAAGGUCUUCGGAUCGUAAAACUCUGUUAUUAGGGAAGAACAAAUGUGUAAGUAACUAUGCACGUCUUGACGGUACCUAAUCAGAAAGCCACGGCUAACUACGUG